RNAcentral lists this ribosomal RNA (488 nucleotides) under uncultured Methylovorus sp. RNAcentral's name for it is "bacterial SSU rRNA". It matches the Rfam family "Bacterial small subunit ribosomal RNA", at positions 8 to 491 of the family's 1533-position model. Lineage: Bacteria; Pseudomonadati; Pseudomonadota; Betaproteobacteria; Nitrosomonadales; Methylophilaceae. The record is from RNAcentral.
AGAGUUUGAUCAUGGCUCAGAUUGAACGCUGGCGGAAUGCUUUACACAUGCAAGUCGAACGGCAGCACGGGAGCUUGCUCCUGGUGGCGAGUGGCGAACGGGUGAGUAAUAUAUCGGAACGUAUCCAAUAAUGGGGGAUAACUAAUCGAAAGGUUGGCUAAUACCGCAUACGCCCUACGGGGGAAAGCAGGGGAUCUUCGGACCUUGCGUUAAUGGAGCGGCCGAUAUCUGAUUAGCUAGUUGGUGGGGUAAAGGCUCACCAAGGCGACGAUCAGUAGCUGGUCUGAGAGGACGACCAGCCACACUGGAACUGAGACACGGUCCAGACUCCUACGGGAGGCAGCAGUGGGGAAUUUUGGACAAUGGGCGAAAGCCUGAUCCAGCGACGCCGCGUGGGUGAAGAAGGCCUUCGGGUUGUAAAGCCCUUUAAGCCGGGACGAAAAAGCUACACCUAACACGUGUGGCCUUGACGGUACCGAAGAAUAGAC